This 331-nucleotide unclassified non-coding RNA is filed under the name soil metagenome. RNAcentral's name for it is "partial contains 5.8S ribosomal RNA, internal transcribed spacer 2, and large subunit ribosomal RNA". The stretch from base 1 to 119 matches the Rfam family "5.8S ribosomal RNA", at positions 36 to 154 of the family's 154-position model. The record is from RNAcentral.
AUGAAGAACGGAGCGAAAUGCGAUAAGUAGUGUGAAUUGCAGAAUUCAGUGAAUCAUCGAAUCUUUGAACGCACAUUGCGCCCUUUGGUAUUCCUUAGGGCAUGCCUGUUCGAGCGUCAUUUAAACCUUCAAGCUCAGCUUGGUGUUGGGUGACUGUCCGCUUCACCGCGGACUCGCCUCAAAAUUAUUGGCGGCCGGUACAUUGGCUUCGAGCGCAGCAGAAACGCGAACUCGGGCCCGUCGUAUUGGCUCCCAGAAGCUAUCUUCACAAUUUUGACCUCGGAUCAGGUAGGGAUACCCGCUGAACUUAAGCAUAUCAAUAAGCGGAGGA